Molecule: ribosomal RNA, 1047 nt
Filed under: Olenecamptus bilobus
Lineage: Eukaryota; Metazoa; Arthropoda; Insecta; Coleoptera; Cerambycidae
Description: 16S ribosomal RNA
Rfam family: Archaeal large subunit ribosomal RNA (bases 348-1047)
Source: RNAcentral
CUCGAAUUUAAAAGAGCUAGAAUUAUAUUAUUUUAUUGUAGAAUAAAUAUUUAAAAUAUAAUUUUAGUAAUGAAACGUUAUUCGUUUUUAAAUAUAUCUAGUUGUUUAAGAAAUAAAUUUAAUUUAGAAGAUUAUAAAUAAAAAAUUUUAUUGUUAAUUUUUUGUUAAUAAUUUUUAAUUUUUAUGGGGAUAAGCUUAUAAAAAAAUAUUUAUAAAUCAUUAUAGGGGGAAAAAUUAUAGGAUUAGAAAUGUCUAUUAAUAAAAUAGUGUUAUAAUUUAUUUUUGGGGGAAAAUAAUUUAUAAUAAUUUUAAAUAUUUUAUUAAACUGAGUAUUUUAAUGUUAAAAAUUUUGUAAUAAUGAUAAAAUUAGUAAUUAAAUUUUGUUAAAAUUAUAGGAAUAUAAGAUAAAAUGAAGGAAUUCGGCAAAUAGAUUUUUCACCUGUUUAUUAAAAACAUGGCCUUUUGUUAAUAAUUUAAGGUCUAGCCUGCCCACUGAGUAGUUAAAUGGCCGCGGUAUUUUGACCGUGCUAAGGUAGCAUAAUCAUUAGUUUUUUAAUUGAAAGCUGGAAUGAAUGGUUGGAUGAGAAAAUGACUGUCUCUAUUUUAAUAAAUUGAAUUUUAUUUUUAAGUUAAAAAGCUUAAAUAAUUUUAAAAGACGAGAAGACCCUAUAGAGUUUUAUAAAAAUUAGUUUAGGUUUCUUUUAGAAUUAUAAAAUUUUAUAUUAAUUUUUAUUUGAUUGGGGUGAUUGAAAAAUUAAAUAAACUUUUUUUUUAUUAAUACAUUGAUUAGUGAUUUAUUGAUCCAUAAUUUGUGAUUAUAAGAUUAAAUUACCUUAGGGAUAACAGCGUUAUUAUUAUUGAGAGUUCAAAUCGAAAUAAUAGUUUGCGACCUCGAUGUUGGAUUAAAAUUUAUUUUUGGUGCAGAAGCUAAAAUAUUAAGUCUGUUCGACUUUUAAAAUUUUACAUGAUCUGAGUUUAAACCGGUGUGAGCCAGGUUGGUUUCUAUCUUUAAAAAUUUAAGGUGUCUCAGUACGAAAGGACCAAAUA